This 301-nucleotide ribosomal RNA is filed under the name uncultured bacterium. RNAcentral's name for it is "partial 16S ribosomal RNA". It matches the Rfam family "Bacterial small subunit ribosomal RNA", at positions 509 to 807 of the family's 1533-position model. The record is from RNAcentral.
CAGCAGCCGCGGUAAUACAGAGGGUGCAAGCGUUAAUCGGAAUUACUGGGCGUAAAGCGCGCGUAGGUGGUUUGUUAAGUUGGAUGUGAAAUCCCCGGGCUCAACCUGGGAACUGCAUCCAAAACUGGCAAGCUAGAGUAUGGUAGAGGGUGGUGGAAUUUCCUGUGUAGCGGUGAAAUGCGUAGAUAUAGGAAGGAACACCAGUGGCGAAGGCGACCACCUGGACUGAUACUGACACUGAGGUGCGAAAGCGUGGGGAGCAAACAGGAUUAGAUACCCGCGUAGUCCCUGUCUCUUAUAC